UUCCUCGUCUUCUUACAUUUUACGCCUUGAAAGCAAAUACAAACCAGGUUAUGUAGUGGAUGGAGCAGAGGAAAAGAGUUCUUCCUCAUCUUCUUACCUUUCACGUCUUGAAAGCAAAUACAAGCCGGGUUAUGUAGUGGAUGAAGUAGAUGAAGAGAAUUCUUGUCCCUCAUCUCGUAUUGCUCGCCUUGAGAGCAAAUACAAGCCGGGUUAUGGAGUGGAUGGAGCAGAGGAAAAGAGUUCUUCCUCAUCUUCUUACAUUUCACGUCUUGAAAGCAAAUACAAGCCGGGUUAUGUAGUGGAUGAAAUAGAGGAAAAGAAUUCUUCUCCCUCAUCUCGUAUUGCACGCCUUGAGAGCAAAUACAAACCCAGUUAUGUAGUGGAUGGAGCAGACGAAAAGAGUUCUUCCUCAUCUUCUUACAUUUCACGUCUUGAAAGCAAAUACAAGCCGGGUUAUGUAGUAGAUGAAAUAGAGGAAAAGAAUUCUUCUCCCUCAUCUCGUAUUGCACGCCUUGAGAGCAAAUACAAACCCAGUUAUGUAGUGGAUGGAGCAGAGGAAAGAGUUCUUCCUCAUCUUCUUACAUUUCACGUCUUGAAAGCAAAUACAAGCCGAGUUAUGGAGUGGAUGAAGUAGAGGAAGAGAAUUCUUCUCCCUCAUCUCGUAUUGCACGCCUUGAGAGCAACUACAAGCCGGGUUAUGGAGUGGAUAGAGCAGAGGAAAAGAGUUCUUCCUCAUCUUCUUACAUUUCACGUCUUGAAAGCAAAUACAAGCCGAGUUAUGGAGUGGAUGAAGUAGAGGAAGAGAAUUCUUCUCCCUCAUCUCGUAUUGCACGCCUUGAGAGCAAAUACAAGCCGGGUUAUGGAGUGGAUGGAGCAGAGGAAAAGGUUUCUUCCUCAUCUUCUUACAUUUCACGUCUUGAAAGUAGGUACAAGCCGAGUUAUGGAGUGGAUGAAGUAGACGAAGAGAAUUCUUCUCCCUCAUCUCAUAUUGUACGCCUUGAGAGCAAAUACAAGCCGGGUUAUGGAGUGGAUGGAGCAGAAGAAAAGAGUUCUUCCUCAUCUUCUUACAUUUUACGUCUUGAAAGUAAAUACAAGCCGGCUUAUGGAGUGGAUGAAGUAGAGGAAAAGAAUUAUUCUCCCUCAUCUCGUAUUGCACACCUUGAGAGCAAGUACAAGCCAGGUUAUGGAGUGGAUGGAGCAGAGGAAAAGAGUUCUUCCUCAUCUUAUGUUUCACGCCUUGAAAGCAAAUAUAAGCCGGGUUAUGGAGUUGACAAAGAUGAGUAUAUGCAAUCUCCGUCAAGGAUUGAUCAUCAUAACUUGGAAAACGACAGAGAUGAUGACAUAGGAAGUGAAGAUGUAGGUGUAUUCACCAUAGAU
RNAcentral lists this long non-coding RNA (1377 nucleotides) under Gossypium raimondii (Peruvian cotton). Its description in RNAcentral is "long non-coding RNA (GRAI_LNC002594)". Lineage: Eukaryota; Viridiplantae; Streptophyta; Magnoliopsida; Malvales; Malvaceae. The record is from RNAcentral.